CUACGGGAGGCACCAGUGGGGAACAUUGCACAAUGGGCGAAAGCCUGAUGCAGCAACGCCGCGUGAGUGAAGAAGGCCUUCGGGUCGUAAAACUCUGUCCUAAGGGAAGAAUAAUGACGGUACCUUAGGAGGAAGCCCCGGCUAACUACGUGCCAGCAGCCGCGGUAAUACGUAGGGGGCAAGCGUUAUCCGGAAUCACUGGGCGUAAAGGGUGCGUGGGCGGCCAAAUAAGCCAGAGGUGAAAGGCUACGGCUCAACCGUAGUAAGCCUUUGGAACUGUAUGGCUUGAGUGCAGGAGAGGAGAGUGGAAUUCCUAGUGUAGCGGUGAAAUGCGUAGAUAUUAGGAGGAACACCAGUGGCGAAGGCGACUCUCUGGACUGCAACUGACGCUGAGGCACGAAAGCGUGGGGAGCGAACAGGAUUAGAUACCCCUGUAGUC
This 439-nucleotide ribosomal RNA is filed under the name uncultured bacterium. RNAcentral's name for it is "partial 16S ribosomal RNA". It matches the Rfam family "Bacterial small subunit ribosomal RNA", at positions 339 to 795 of the family's 1533-position model. The record is from RNAcentral.